Molecule: non-coding RNA, 27 nt
Filed under: Mus musculus (house mouse)
Lineage: Eukaryota; Metazoa; Chordata; Mammalia; Rodentia; Muridae
Source: RNAcentral
UAAUCUCCGUUCAUUGGCCUUCGUCAA